GACGAACGCUGGCGGCGUGCUUAACGCAUGCAAGUCGAACGGAAAGGCCCUGCUUUUGUGGGGUGCUCGAGUGGCGAACGGGUGAGUAACACGUGAGUAUCCUGCCCUUGACUUUGGGAUAACUUCACGAAACUGGGGCUAAUACCGUAUCGGAGCUCCCGCUGCAUGGUGGGGGUUGGAUCGUUUCGGCGGUAGGGGUUGGACUCGCGGCUUACCAGCUUGUUGGUUGGGGAGUGGCUUACCAAGGCUUUGACGGGUAGCCGGCAUGGGAGGGUGACCGGCGACAAGGGGACUGAGAGACGGCCCAGACUCCUACAGGAGGCAACAGUGGGGAAUAUUGCACAGUGAGCGGAAGCCUGAUGCAACGACGCCGCGUGCGGGAUGACGGCCUUCGGGUUGUAAACCGCUGUCGCCUGUGACGAAGCGUGAGUGACGGUAAUGGGUAAAGAAGCACCGGCUAACUACGUG
RNAcentral lists this ribosomal RNA (468 nucleotides) under uncultured bacterium. RNAcentral describes it as "partial 16S ribosomal RNA". It matches the Rfam family "Bacterial small subunit ribosomal RNA", at positions 28 to 507 of the family's 1533-position model. The record is from RNAcentral.